Molecule: non-coding RNA, 27 nt
Filed under: Homo sapiens (human)
Lineage: Eukaryota; Metazoa; Chordata; Mammalia; Primates; Hominidae
Source: RNAcentral
UCCCCAUCUUGUGCUCUGAUUUACUAA